Molecule: ribosomal RNA, 1265 nt
Filed under: Bacillus sp. MB136
Lineage: Bacteria; Bacillati; Bacillota; Bacilli; Caryophanales; Bacillaceae
Description: partial 16S ribosomal RNA
Rfam family: Bacterial small subunit ribosomal RNA
Source: RNAcentral
ACCUGCGUGUGAGACUGGGAUAACUCCGGGAAACCGGAACUAAUACCGGAUAGUUCCUUGUCCCCCUUGGGUCAAGGAUGAGAGACGGGUUCUGCUGUCUCUUACACAUGGGCCCCCGGCGCAUUUUCUAGUUGGGGAGGUAACGGCUCACCAAGGCGACAAUGCGUAUCCGACCUGAGAGGGGGAUCGGCCACACUGUGACUGAGACACGGCCCCCACUCCUACGGGAGGGGGCAGUAGGGAAUCUUCCCCAAUGGACAAAAGUCUGACAGAGCAACGCCGCGUGAGUGAUGAAAGUUUUCUGAUCGCAAAGCUCUGUUGUUAGGGAAGAACACGUGCAAGAGUAACUGCUUGUGCCUUGACGGUACCUAACCCCAAAGCCACGGCUAACUACAUGCCACCAGCCGCGGUAAUACAUAUGUGGGAAGCGUUGUCCGGAAUUAUUGGGCGUAAAGGGCUCGCACGCGGUUUCUCAUGUCUGAUGUGAAAGCCCCCGGCUCUCCCGCGGAGGGUCAUUGUAAACUGUGAAACUUGAGUGCGCAAAAGAAGAGUGCAAUUCCCCGUGUAUCGGUGAAAUGCGUAUAGAUGUGGAGGAACACCACUGGCGAAAGCGACUCUCUGUUCUGUAUCUGACACUCAGAAGCGAAAGCGUGUGGGAGAGAACACGAUUAUAUACCCUGGUGAGUCUACACCGUAUACGAUGAGAGCUAUGUGUGAUGGGAGGUUUCCGCCCCCUUAUUGCUGCAGCUAUCAGCAUAAAGCACUCCGCCUGUGGGAGUGGGGAGUACGGUCGCAAGAUUGAAACUCAAAGGAAUUGACGGGGGCCCGCCCAAGCGGUGGACCAUGUGGUUUAAUUGGAAGCAACGGGAAGACCCUUCCCAGGUCUUGACAUCUUUUGACAACCCUAGAGAUAGGGCUUUCCCUUCGGGGACAGAGUGACAGGUGGUGCAUGGUUGUUGUCAGCUUGUGUUGUGAGAUGUUGGGUUAAGUCCCGCAACGAGCGCCACCCUUGAUUUUAGUUGCCAGCCUUUAGUUGGGCCCUUUAAGGUGACUGCCGGUGACAAACCGGAGGAAGGUGGGGAAGACGUCAAAUCAUCAUGCCCCUUAUGACCUGGGCUACACACGUGGUACAAUGGACAGAACAAAGGGGUGCGAGACCGCAAGGUUUAACCCAUCCCCCAAAUCCCUUUUCAGUUUGGAUCGCAGUCUGCAACUUGACUGCCAGAAGCCGGAAUCGCUAGUAAUCGCGGAUCAGCCAGCCGCGG